AGAGUUUCUGGUCUAUCCCCGAGUUUCCCAAGACUCCAGCCUAGGCAGGCAGUGAGCCGCCCGUAUCGCCUCGCACAGUCCUCCCCUAGAAUAACUCGGUUUCUGUCUAGGGGGGUGGUUGCGCACAGUGGGGUAAAGCGGUCCCCAUUUCAAAAAGGAGCCCCUACUCCGAUCCCCAAGAGUUCUGAGUGGACUGAGGCUAAUCCCCGGGGCCACGGAGGACCCCACCACCACCAACCACCACCCUUCCCCAAACCUUUACAGACAGGACGCAGGAGAUGCCCGGGGGUGGCAAACAGCCCCGCCUGGGGAGGAAGACCAUUGUACUCUCUUUGGCAGCGUAAUGCCGGUCAGGUCAGUACUUGCAGAUGUCCUGCACGGGCUGCUCUGGGGAGAGGGAAGGGGCAGGAAACUCAACCCUUCCCAAGUCCCCGAGCGCCCGCAGGACGCAGGCUGCAGCUCGAGCGCCGCUCGUUACAAACUUUCCGGAGGGACGAGCGCAAUCUCCAGGCACUUACCGGCGCUGGAAUUCAUGAUUCCUCCCAUGCGGGCUCUCUCUGUCUCUUCUUUUCUUUUCUCUCCUCCCCAGAGCCCCUCUUUUUAAUCCUCUUUAAUGCAUUGACUCCAGUUUGGGGGGUGCAGGAAUCAGGGUCCGCGGCCGCCGCAUCACGUCCGGCAGCUCCGCAGCGCCGGUACAAAAGCAGCCGCCGGCUCCGGGGGCUCUCCCGACGCUCGCCACCGAGCCAGCCGCCUGGCCGGCCGAGGGACAAGGAGCGCGCGAGCGCCCCCGAGCCGAGCUCCCGGGGAAGGUUCCGAAGGCUCGAGCGCCUCCCUGGACGAGCUCCGGGAGAAGAUUCUCAGAGCGCUAGUGCGUUCCUCCCUCCUGCCCCCUACCCCCGGCGCGUGCGGGCUCCAGCUGGCCGGGCUCCGAGGGAGGCGUUCCGAAGAGCAAGCGCGCUCCCCCGGCACGCGCUCCCGAAAAAAAAAGGAAAAGGGAAAAAAAACCAACCACGAAUCCCGGCCCUCUCAGCGCCCCCUAAGGGCGGCAGCGAUAACAGCUAA
RNAcentral lists this long non-coding RNA (1062 nucleotides) under Phascolarctos cinereus (koala). Its description in RNAcentral is "lncRNA (ENSPCIG00000006929.2)". The record is from RNAcentral. Lineage: Eukaryota; Metazoa; Chordata; Mammalia; Diprotodontia; Phascolarctidae.